UUUUUGCGGGCCUACACAUGCAAGUCGAGCGGUAACAGAGAGUAGCUUGCUACUUUGCUGACGAGCGGCGGACGGGUGAGUAAUGCUUGGGGAUCUGCCCGGUCGAGGGGGAUAACCGUUGGAAACGACGGCUAAUACCGCAUGCGCCCUACGGGGGAAAGCAGGGGACCUUCGGGCCUUGCGCGAUUGGAUGAACCCAAGUGAGAUUAGCUUGUUGGUGAGGUAACGGCUCACCAAGGCGACGAUCUCUAGCUGGUCUGAGAGGAUGACCAGUCACACUGGGACUGAGACACGGCCCAGACUCCUACGGGAGGCAGCAGUGGGGAAUAUUGCACAAUGGGGGAAACCCUGAUGCAGCCAUGCCGCGUGUGUGAAGAAGGCCUUCGGGUUGUAAAGCACUUUCAGUGGUGAGGAAAGGAGGUUGGCUAAUACCUGACCUCUGUGACGUUAACCACAGAAGAAGCACCGGCUAACUCCGUGCCAGCAGCCGCGGUAAU
Molecule: ribosomal RNA, 497 nt
Filed under: Oceanimonas smirnovii
Lineage: Bacteria; Pseudomonadati; Pseudomonadota; Gammaproteobacteria; Aeromonadales; Aeromonadaceae
Description: bacterial SSU rRNA
Rfam family: Bacterial small subunit ribosomal RNA
Source: RNAcentral